RNAcentral lists this transfer RNA (63 nucleotides) under Cryptalaus larvatus. RNAcentral describes it as "tRNA-Phe". Lineage: Eukaryota; Metazoa; Arthropoda; Insecta; Coleoptera; Elateridae. The record is from RNAcentral.
ACUUUAAUAGCUUAUAUAGAGCAUGACACUGAAGAUGUUAGGGAGAUUUUUUAUCUUAGAGUA